This is a long non-coding RNA of Equus asinus (donkey), 2282 nucleotides long. The record is from Ensembl. Lineage: Eukaryota; Metazoa; Chordata; Mammalia; Perissodactyla; Equidae.
UUUCCCACUUUGGGUUGAACUUCUGUCCUUCAAACAACUGCUUGCUUCACUGGAAUAGCACUUGACUUGAUUGCAAGUUAAAACCCUUUAAGGGGUAGCUCACUCCAAUGAUUUUUUCAAUGACUAUGCUGUCAGUGGGGAUUUGUGAUUAUUGCCACUGCUCCAAAUUUCUAUAAUCAUUUGCAUUUUGAAAUGAUUGGGAUGACCGUUCUCUGAGAAUAUAAUAUAUAAUUUUUUCCUUAUGGUGUUUUAGCAGCAUUUUGCAAGGAGAACAAUGAGGAGAGAGUAAAUUGUAUUGUAAUUCAUUUGAAUAGAAGCCCAUUUCAGGGAGAUUUCGGGGACACGGCUCAGACUUCGACUCUUACUUUAGCCCUUUAGAAGUAUUUCUACUUGAGUCACUGAAGGGCUCUUAGAGCCUUAUAGCUUUCCAGCAGCUAGGAAUUCUUAAUGAAAGAUGAAAUCUGACUUUCAGUUUGAGGUAUUCUUAUCAGUGCUGGAAGAUGGGAAGGGAAAGCAGAAAAAGACUUUUUUUUGAAGAUUAAAGCUGCAGUUUUCCCCCCUUCCAUCCCAUUUCUCCAUUUAUCUCCCUUUUUCCUCUUUCUCCCACCCCCAGUGUUCAGUAUAGCAGCUAGGAGAAGGAGCACCUGAACAGGAUUACUCAAAGCAAGGUCUGUUUAUGAUGAUCACUGACACAAUUAGACGAGGUAUUUAUUAAACAUUCAUAUUCCUGGCCAUUACUUCAAACCCACUGAAUGGAAGAAUCUCCAUACUAUGUGAAUUUUAAGAAGAACCCCAUUUUAGCUGCUUACAGUUUACGAAGUAUUUGGGCUGUGUGGUUGGAUUCAGGGGAGUAAAAUCAAGCCCAAUUUUUUUAAAAAAAAUCAUUUUGUAAGGCCUGAAUAUUUAUUUUUACAAGUAAAUUAUAAAAACCUCAUUUUAAAAGAUAGCACUUCUCCUAUUGUAAAGUAUGAAGCCCAUGGCUGGCAGUUUGGUGGCAGUCCAGAGGCAACAGGAUGGGUGCUUCCUGGGCCGCCUUUCACAGCCAUAGGGGAUAAGUCAAUGCAGUGAAGCAACAACCCACAGAGAAAAACUGAGCAUCUUCUUAGGUCUUCAUUACGUACAGCAGUAUCUCCUCCUUAUGCUCCUCCUUAGCUGAGAUCAUAUGUGACUUCAUCGAAAAGAUGGCCCAUGUGCUGCUGGCCCAGGAACCACGUCUUGAGAGCUAUUCCUAUAAGGUGUUUCCUCGGGUUACUUGAUAGAAGAGCGGCAUAUAGCAGAGUAAAACUCAAAUGGUGAUAGUCAUCACAGUCUGUUCCUUCCUCAUCCCUCACCCCCUGGAGAGAAACGUAGUAGUUAGAAAUCUCAACUUCUGUUUUCUAAGUACUUUACCUCUUGUUCUUCUACCAUUGUCUUUGUGAUUUAAGAAAAUGAGAACAGAGGCUGCUCCCCCACAGUGAGACCACAUUGCUUUUUGGUCUUAGUACCCAGCAGUUGGUUUAAUCAGAAUGUAGCUGCCCAGGAAGAAAUCGGUAAUUCUGUAGCAGAGUUGAUUCAAGUUCUCUCCUGCUCUCCCUUCCCCUUCCCUUUGCAGCUUCUCCAUCUCGUAUGUUAUUAUAAAAUCUCUAGGCCUCAUGCUACUCUUGGGAAUCCCAGCAAGGUAAUCAGCCCUAAGUGGUACUUCCUGUGAACUUGUUAACUUUUGGCUUUAACAAUAGUGAAUGGUAGAGACUGAUAUGAAGAGGAAGAAAUCAGCUAUGAGCACUCAAGAACCUGGGGGAAAAAAUUAGGCUUUCUUCACCUUUUGGAGUGGGAACAUGCUUAAAAGGUCUAUUUUAGAACUCUGUUCCAAGUGAUAUUCCAACUCAAGCGAAGUGAUCAGUUUCUGAGCUCCUUACCUGAAAAGUCCAGGGAUGGACCUAGCCAGCAUUCAGUACCUGGAUCCAGGGGCGCACACAGUCUCUCACCAUCCCUGGACUUGGUUUUCUCUGUGUUGGCGUCAACCCUCCAUUAGACUCUUCACUGGGGUUGCAAAGGUGGCUUUUGGGAGUCUUUCCUUUAUUCUACCACAGUUAUAUCCCAGUGGAAAGCACAUAUCUUUGUCUCAGCAACUCAAGCAAAAUUCUCAAGGCUGAGCCAGGUGGCGCACGUCUACCCCUUAACUAGUCACCAUAUGCUGUUGACAUGGAGGGCAUCCUGACUGAGAUGAAGACUGAAGUUGCUCUUAAAGUGCAGACAAAGGUUGAGCAGAAGGCAUUCAAGGCCUGCAUAGGGGGAGAAGAGAA